CAUUAUGAAGCUAAACUAGCACUAGCCUUUUAAGCUAGAGAAUGAGAGCUAAUAAUUCUCUCCAUAAUGA
Molecule: transfer RNA, 70 nt
Filed under: Lepus capensis (brown hare)
Lineage: Eukaryota; Metazoa; Chordata; Mammalia; Lagomorpha; Leporidae
Description: tRNA-Lys
Rfam family: tRNA
About the family: Transfer RNA (tRNA) molecules are approximately 80 nucleotides in length. Their secondary structure includes four short double-helical elements and three loops (D, anti-codon, and T loops).
Source: RNAcentral